RNA transcript from Hevea brasiliensis (rubber tree), 3749 nucleotides. It is a transcript of the gene named proline-rich receptor-like protein kinase PERK9, with no coding region annotated. The record is from RefSeq and is a predicted model, not a curated record. Lineage: Eukaryota; Viridiplantae; Streptophyta; Magnoliopsida; Malpighiales; Euphorbiaceae. The transcript has 9 exons.
UUCACAUUCAAAGACCAAAACUAUCUAAUUAUUCUUCUUUUUGGAGUAAAGGGUAUCUGUCAAUAUUGCUUUGGAUUUGAGACCCCACAAUCCGUGUUCCUGUUCCACUAUCCUGUGCCGAGGAGAGAGAAGGUUCAAGAACAAGCCAAAAUUGUCUGCAAUUCAAAAUAAUCCAGUUGUGACUUGAGUUUUUUCUUACAACUUAAAGUGAGAGUUUCGCAGAUGAAAGGUAAGAUUUUGGCAUUUGGGUUCUUCCUUGUUUCUGUUUUGAUGAUGCCAGUGUUGAUACAUCUACUACAGUGAUCGUAGGGAUUUUUCUUUUUUUCAGUUUAUUGAUAGAAGUUCAAAGAUUAUAUUUACUUUGAAUUGGUCAUCUGGGCAUUGCUUAAAACUUAUUUGAUGACGUGGGUUUUGCGUUUGAAGUGAUUUCGUGACGAUGGGUUUUUGCUUUGGAAGUGAUUCGUUAUGUGGAUUUUAGCUGAAAAUCCAUUAUGCGAUCAGGGUUUUAGUUAGAAACGUUCUCGGUGAUCUGGGUUUUGCUAAAUAACCAGAAGAGUGAUUAGAUUUUUGCUCUAACUUAGCUGGUGAAAGUUGUUGGACUCCAAAAAGAGGUUUCUGUGCUGUAAAGAAUGAACGUUUGGUGAUAUCAGGCUUUUUGUUGGUGAAGUUUGGUGAUUUGGAUAUCUGUCAUAUUUGUAAGUUUUGUUCCAGUUGAAAUUGAUCACUGAAUUCUGUUUGAAAUUUUGUUUCCGCACUGAAUAAAUCAAGAUAAAAAAUUUUGGUAUGUGAAUUUUACGACUUGAAGUUGAAAGUUAGAAACUUGGAAUGGCGACUACAUCGCCACCCUCAAAUUCACCCACUUCUGCUGUUCCUCCAGUUUCAACCACUUCACGACCACCAUCCACCUCUAGUUCACCGCCAUCCGCCAUCAGUUCACCACCACCAUCCUCCAUCAGUCCACCACCACAACCAUCCUCUCCACCACCAGACACUAUUCCUACGACUUCUCCACCUUCACAGUCCAAUGCCAAUCCAACGGACCCUCCCACCCCUUCAACUCCAUCAGCACUUCCUCAAUCUCCUACUUCUGCUGUUGUUGCAAAUCCGCCUUCUACACCAUUAAACUCACCACCUCCAACUUCACCUUCUCCACCUUCAACCAAUGCUGAUCCUCCAACCUCCAAUUCUCCACCAUCGCCAUCACAAUCAGCAAGUCCACCCACAAGCUCAUCUCCUCCUGCACCGCCAUCUAAUCCACCAACUUCUCCACCACCUCCAUCCAAUCCGCCAACUUCUCCAUCACCACCUUCCAAUCCAUCUACAAGUUCUCCUUCUUCUCCACCACCAUCACUAACACCACCAGCAAAUUCACCUCCACCAACUUCAAAUCCAUCUCCCACACCACCGCCACCGUCAUCAAAGCCACCUGAAAAUUCACAACCGCCACCAUCAUCAAAGCCACCUGAAAAUUCACCGCCGCCUCCAUCAUCAAAACCACCUGAAAACUCACCGCCGCCUCCAUCAUCAAAGCCACCUGAAAACUCACCACCUCCACCAUCAUCAAAACCACCAGAAAACUCACCGCCGCCUCCAUCAUCAAAACCACCUGAAAACUCACCGCCACCUGCCAAUUCAUCCCCACCAACAGUAUCUGUGCCACCUCCCAAAAGUUCACCUUCACCUGCAAAUUCGCCUCCUCCUCCAGCUUCAACCCCUCCGAAAAGUUCACCUCCUACAAAUUCACCUCCUCCAUCAGCAUCAACACCACCAAAAGAUUCACCUCCUCCACCAGCGUCAACACCACCCACAGAUUCACCUUCUCCACCAACAUCAAUAGCCCCUACUCCCAGUAAUUCACCAUCAAAUUCUACUAAAGCAUCACCCCCAUCACCAGUGAUGAGAUUGAGUCCACUUCCUUCCUCAUUCAAUUCUCCACCAUCUUCUUCUCCUCCCUUAUCUGACAACAAUACCUUUCCUAGUGCACCAGAAAGUUCAAAAUUAACAGGUAGUGGAGGCAUUGGUACUGGAGGUAUAGUCGCCAUUGGUGUAGCAGUAGGUGUCAUAAUGCUCAGCCUUGUUGGGUUGGCUGUCUGGUGCUUCAGGAAGCGAAGGAAAGAGGCACUUGGGCACAAUGGUGGUUAUGUUAUGCCAUCUCCUCUGGGCUCUUCCCCUAGAUCAGAUUCAAAUUUCACGAAGACACACUCUACAGCUCCCCUAAUGGGAAGUGGUUCUAGUAAUGAUAUUUUUGUUUAUUCACCAAGUGAUCCUGGUGGAUUAGGAAAUUCAAGGUCAUGGUUUACAUAUGAAGAACUACUCAAGGCAACAAAUGGAUUUUCAUCCCAAAAUCUUUUGGGGGAGGGUGGGUUUGGUUCUGUAUACAAAGGCUGCCUACCUGAUGGAAGGGAGGUGGCAGUAAAACAGCUUAAAGUUGGUGGAGGACAGGGUGAACGAGAAUUUAAGGCAGAGGUUGAGAUUAUUAGUCGAAUACACCAUCGCCAUUUGGUUUCACUUGUGGGUUACUGCAUCUCUGAGAACCGAAGAUUGCUUGUAUAUGACUACGUGCCUAACAAUACCCUUCAUUUCCAUCUUCAUGGGGAAGGUAGGCCAGUUCUGGAUUGGGCAACACGUGUUAAGAUUGCUGUUGGUGCAGCUCGUGGGAUAGCUUAUCUCCAUGAAGACUGUCAUCCUCGGGUAAUACACAGGGAUAUUAAGUCAUCGAACAUACUUUUGGAUAACAAUUUUGAAGCCAAGGUUUCAGACUUUGGGCUUGCAAAGUUAGCUCUUGAUGCAAAUACACAUGUGACCACACGUGUUAUGGGCACCUUCGGAUACAUGGCCCCUGAAUAUGCAUCAAGCGGCAAAUUAACUGAGAAAUCUGAUGUAUUCUCAUAUGGAGUUGUUCUUUUGGAGCUAAUCACUGGACGGAAGCCUGUGGAUGCAUCCCAACCCUUGGGAGAUGAGAGUCUUGUUGAAUGGGCACGGCCUUUGCUUGGUCAUGCACUAGCCAAUGAAGAGUUUGACAGCUUGGUUGAUCCAAGGCUUGAAAAGAACUAUAAUGAAAGUGAAAUGUUUAGAAUGAUUGAGGCUGCAGCAGCAUGCGUGCGGCAUUCAGCUGCCAAAAGGCCAAGGAUGGGACAGGUUGUUAGAGCAUUUGAUAGUUUAGCUGCUGCCGAUCUAAGCAACGGAAUGAGAGUUGGGGAAAGUGAGGUAUUCAACUCAGCAGAACAGUCUGCAGAAAUUAGAUUAUUUCGGAGGAUGGCAUUUGGUAGUCAAAAUUACAGUACGGAUUUUUUUACCCAAGGCAGUGUGGAUAGUUAAGAGAACAUGGUGAAUAUUAUUAGCAGAGAUGAAUACAUCUAUUGUCAGUGGGUUUUGUCCAGUUGAGAUGGUGCCCCAUGCAAGUUCAAGCUGAUUUAGUCGGAGACAGGCUGAGCACCUUUAGAUAUACGGGAUGUAUAUAUCUGGAAUGACUGCAUCUGGCAUGGGGACUGGAUUUUAAACCCCAAUUACUAGUUAUUAGGUGUUUGUUGAGGUUCCCAAUAUCACAGCACCUUUCUUUCUCGUGGUCAUGGAUGGCAAAUCAUUAAAGAAAGUUGAUGGAACUACAUAAACAUUUCUGAACCCAUCAAACAUAUAUAUGCAGCAAUUUAACUUAUUGUAAAAGGAUGUCAGAAGAUUUUUUUUCAUUAACGUAAAUGAUUGUCUUUAGAUGUUGAUUCUUACCUAGAAUACCAGAUAGCUUCCAAGCC